AUGAACGCUGGCGGCGUGCCUAAUACAUGCAGGUCGAGCGAACAGACGAGGAGCUUGCUCCUUUGACGUUAGCGGCGGACGGGUGAGUAACACGUAGGUAACCUACCUAUAAGACUGGGAUAACUUCGGGAAACCGGAGCUAAUACCGGAUAAUAUUUCGAACCGCAUGGUUCGAUAGUGAAAGAUGGCUUUGCUAUCACUUAUAGAUGGACCUGCGCCGUAUUAGCUAGUUGGUAAGGUAACGGCUUACCAAGGCAACGAUACGUAGCCGACCUGAGAGGGUGAUCGGCCACACUGGAACUGAGACACGGUCCAGACUCCUACGGGAGGCAGCAGUAGGGAAUCUUCCGCAAUGGGCGAAAGCCUGACGGAGCAACGCCGCGUGAGUGAUGAAGGUCUUCGGAUCGUAAAACUCUGUUAUUAGGGAAGAACAAACGUGUAAGUAACUGUGCACGUCUUGACGGUACCUAAUCAGAAAGCCACGGCUAACUACGUG
Molecule: ribosomal RNA, 496 nt
Filed under: uncultured bacterium
Lineage: Bacteria
Description: partial 16S ribosomal RNA
Rfam family: Bacterial small subunit ribosomal RNA
Source: RNAcentral